This 587-nucleotide ribosomal RNA is filed under the name uncultured beta proteobacterium. RNAcentral's name for it is "bacterial SSU rRNA". It matches the Rfam family "Bacterial small subunit ribosomal RNA", at positions 338 to 916 of the family's 1533-position model. The record is from RNAcentral. Lineage: Bacteria; Pseudomonadati; Pseudomonadota; Betaproteobacteria.
CCUACGGGAGGCAGCAGUGGGGAAUUUUGGACAAUGGGGGCAACCCUGAUCCAGCCAUGCCGCGUGAGUGAAGAAGGCCUUCGGGUUGUAAAGCUCUUUCGGCCGGGAAGAAAUCGCGCAGGUUAAUACCCUGUGUGGAUGACGGUACCGGAAUAAGAAGCACCGGCUAACUACGUGCCAGCAGCCGCGGUAAUACGUAGGGUGCGAGCGUUAAUCGGAAUUACUGGGCGUAAAGCGUGCGCAGGCGGUUUUGUAAGACAGGCGUGAAAUCCCCGGGCUCAACCUGGGAACUGCGCUUGUGACUGCAUCACUCGAGUACGGCAGAGGGGGGUGGAAUUCCACGUGUAGCAGUGAAAUGCGUAGAGAUGUGGAGGAACACCGAUGGCGAAGGCAGCCCCCUGGGCCGAUACUGACGCUCAUGCACGAAAGCGUGGGUAGCAAACAGGAUUAGAUACCCUGGUAGUCCACGCCCUAAACGAUGUCAACUAGGUGUUGGGUGGGUAAAACCAUUUAGUACCGUAGCUAACGCGUGAAGUUGACCGCCUGGGGAGUACGGCCGCAAGGUUAAAACUCAAAGGAAUUGACGG